Haliotis rubra (blacklip abalone) is the source of this 241-nucleotide long non-coding RNA. RefSeq lists it as uncharacterized. The record is from RefSeq and is a predicted model, not a curated record. NCBI's taxonomy places the organism in Eukaryota, Metazoa, Mollusca, Gastropoda, Lepetellida, Haliotidae. The transcript has 2 exons.
UGUACGGUAGAUGCAGUAGCUAAAGCUCAGCGGCAGUAUGGACACACGGGUAUUUCAGAGCACGUGUCGGGGCAGGUUGAAGGCCACCAGAAAGGUGGCACAAGACACCAUCAACCAGCUGCAGCUGCAGGCAGUGGCAGAUGAAGCUGUAGAAAACAGAAAAAGGUUCAAUGUCAAAUAUCAAGGGACCUCAUUUCUGCCCAAAUAUGUGUGUUGUAGAAAUUAAAAACGUCGAAUCUGA